GCUGGGGCCAUAGCUCAGUGGCAGAGUGCUUGCCUAGCAUGCAUGAGGCACUGGGUUCGAUCCUCAGCACUGCA
This 74-nucleotide transfer RNA is filed under the name Marmota monax (woodchuck). RNAcentral's name for it is "tRNA.Ala". The stretch from base 11 to 67 matches the Rfam family "tRNA", at positions 8 to 63 of the family's 71-position model. Rfam says of the family: Transfer RNA (tRNA) molecules are approximately 80 nucleotides in length. Their secondary structure includes four short double-helical elements and three loops (D, anti-codon, and T loops). Further hydrogen bonds mediate the characteristic L-shaped molecular structure. tRNAs have two regions of fundamental functional importance: the anti-codon, which is responsible for specific mRNA codon recognition, and the 3' end, to which the tRNAs corresponding amino acid is attached (by aminoacyl-tRNA synthetases). tRNAs cope with the degeneracy of the genetic code in two manners: having more than one tRNA (with a specific anti-codon) for a particular amino acid; and 'wobble' base-pairing, i.e. permitting non-standard base-pairing at the 3rd anti-codon position. The record is from RNAcentral. Lineage: Eukaryota; Metazoa; Chordata; Mammalia; Rodentia; Sciuridae.